This 951-nucleotide ribosomal RNA is filed under the name uncultured bacterium. RNAcentral's name for it is "bacterial SSU rRNA". It matches the Rfam family "Bacterial small subunit ribosomal RNA", at positions 519 to 1469 of the family's 1533-position model. The record is from RNAcentral.
GGUGAUACGGAGGGUGCAAGCGUUGAUCGGAAUUACUGGGCGUAAAGCGCACGCAGGCGGUUUGUUAAGUCAGAUGUGAAAUCCCCGCGCUUAACGUGGGAACUGCAUUUGAAACUGGCAAGCUAGAGUCUUGUAGAGGGGGGUAGAAUUCCAGGUGUAGCGGUGAAAUGCGUAGAGAUCUGGAGGAAUACCGGUGGCGAAGGCGGCCCCCUGGACAAAGACUGACGCUCAGGUGCGAAAGCGUGGGGAGCAAACAGGAUUAGAUACCCUGGUAGUCCACGCUGUAAACGAUGUCGACUUGGAGGUUGUGCCCUUGAGGCGUGGCUUCCGGAGCUAACGCGUUAAGUCGACCGCCUGGGGAGUACGGCCGCAAGGUUAAAACUCAAAUGAAUUGACGGGGGCCCGCACAAGCGGUGGAGCAUGUGGUUUAAUUCGAUGCAACGCGAAGAACCUUACCUACUCUUGACAUCCACGGAAUUCGCCAGAGAUGGCUUAGUGCCUUCGGGAACCGUGAGACAGGUGCUGCAUGGCUGUCGUCAGCUCGUGUUGUGAAAUGUUGGGUUAAGUCCCGCAACGAGCGCAACCCUUAUCCUUUGUUGCCAGCACGUAAUGGUGGGAACUCAAAGGAGACUGCCGGUGAUAAACCGGAGGAAGGUGGGGAUGACGUCAAGUCAUCAUGGCCCUUACGAGUAGGGCUACACACGUGCUACAAUGGCAUAUACAAAGAGAAGCGAACUCGCGAGAGCAAGCGGACCUCAUAAAGUAUGUCGUAGUCCGGAUUGGAGUCUGCAACUCGACUCCAUGAAGUCGGAAUCGCUAGUAAUCGUAGAUCAGAAUGCUACGGUGAAUACGUUCCCGGGCCUUGUACACACCGCCCGUCACACCAUGGGAGUGGGUUGCAAAAGAAGUAGGUAGCUUAACCUUCGGGAGGGCGCUUACCACUUUGUGAUU